This 343-nucleotide ribosomal RNA is filed under the name uncultured bacterium. RNAcentral describes it as "bacterial SSU rRNA". It matches the Rfam family "Bacterial small subunit ribosomal RNA", at positions 8 to 334 of the family's 1533-position model. The record is from RNAcentral.
AGAGUUUGAUUCUGGCUCAUGAUGAACGCUGGCGGCGUGCCUAACACAUGCAAGUCGAACGAGGUAAAUGAGAUGAAGUUUUCGGAUGGAUUCUUAUUUACCGAGUGGCGGACGGGUGAGUAACGCGUGGGUAACCUGCCUCAUACAGGGGGAUAACGAUUGGAAACGAUUGCUAAUACCGCAUAAGACCACAGCACCGCAUGGUGCAGGGGUAAAAACUCCGGUGGUAUGAGAUGGACCCGCGUCUGAUUAGGUAGUUGGUGGGGUAACGGCCUACCAAGCCGACGAUCAGUAGCCGACCUGAGAGGGUGACCGGCCACAUUGGGACUGAGACACGGCCCAA